This 405-nucleotide ribosomal RNA is filed under the name uncultured bacterium. Its description in RNAcentral is "partial 16S ribosomal RNA". It matches the Rfam family "Bacterial small subunit ribosomal RNA", at positions 30 to 525 of the family's 1533-position model. The record is from RNAcentral.
AUUGAACGCUGGCGGCAGGCCUAACACAUGCAAGUCGAACGAGUGGCGGACGGGUGAGUAAUGUCUGGGAAACUGCCUGAUGGAGGGGGAUAACUACUGGAAACGGUAGCUAAUACCGCAUACCAUCGGAUGUGCCCCGAUGGGAUUAGCUAGUAGGUGGGGUAACGGCUCACCUAGGCGACGAUACCUAGCUGGUCUGAGAGGAUGACCAGCCACACUGGAACUGAGACAAGGGCCAGACUCCUACGGGAGGCAGCAGUGGGGAAUAUUGCACAAUGGGCGCAAGCCUGAUGCAGCCAUGCCGCGUGUAUGAAGAAGGCCUUAGGGUUGUAAAGUACUUUCAGCGGGGAGGCGUUACCCGCAGAAGAAGCACAGGCUAAAUCCGUGCCAGCAGCCGCGGUAAUA